CCCGUGCUGGGCACAGGUAGUCCUCGGCCCGCUCCCCACUGAUUGACAGGGAGUGGUUUUGUUCUCCCGCCCACACGGUCACAACAGUAACUAUCAGAUCCACUACACCAAGAUUUCUGAAGACAAUGGCAUCUCCACCCAAGCGCGUUGUAAAUAAAUUCCGAAUAGAACCUGUCAUCACCCUGAAGGAAUUCUAACUUCACACUGUUGGGGAAAUUUACCAAGAUGGCUUCAGAAUAGACUAACUUUACACAGCACAUU
RNAcentral lists this long non-coding RNA (261 nucleotides) under Homo sapiens (human). Its description in RNAcentral is "HSALNT0350841". Lineage: Eukaryota; Metazoa; Chordata; Mammalia; Primates; Hominidae. The record is from RNAcentral.